This 762-nucleotide ribosomal RNA is filed under the name uncultured bacterium. RNAcentral's name for it is "bacterial SSU rRNA". It matches the Rfam family "Bacterial small subunit ribosomal RNA", at positions 771 to 1532 of the family's 1533-position model. The record is from RNAcentral.
AACAGGAUUAGAUACCCUGGUAGUCCACGCCGUAAACGAUGUCGACUUGGAGGCUGUUCCCUUGAGGAGUGGCUUCCGGAGCUAACGCGUUAAGUCGACCGCCUGGGGAGUACGGCCGCAAGGUUAAAACUCAAAUGAAUUGACGGGGGCCCGCACAAGCGGUGGAGCAUGUGGUUUAAUUCGAUGCAACGCGAAGAACCUUACCUACUCUUGACAUCCAGAGAAUUUAGCAGAGAUGCUUUAGUGCCUUCGGGAACUCUGAGACAGGUGCUGCAUGGCUGUCGUCAGCUCGUGUUGUGAAAUGUUGGGUUAAGUCCCGCAACGAGCGCAACCCUUAUCCUUUGUUGCCAGCACGUAAUGGUGGGAACUCAAAGGAGACUGCCGGUGAUAAACCGGAGGAAGGUGGGGAUGACGUCAAGUCAUCAUGGCCCUUACGAGUAGGGCUACACACGUGCUACAAUGGCGCAUACAAAGAGAAGCGACCUCGCGAGAGCAAGCGGACCUCAUAAAGUGCGUCGUAGUCCGGAUUGGAGUCUGCAACUCGACUCCAUGAAGUCGGAAUCGCUAGUAAUCGUAAAUCAGAAUGUUACGGUGAAUACGUUCCCGGGCCUUGUACACACCGCCCGUCACACCAUGGGAGUGGGUUGCAAAAGAAGUAGAUAGCUUAACCUUCGGGAGGGCGUUUACCACUUUGUGAUUCAUGACUGGGGUGAAGUCGUAACAAGGUAACCGUAGGGGAACCUGCGGCUGGAUCACCUCCUU